Molecule: ribosomal RNA, 274 nt
Filed under: uncultured bacterium
Lineage: Bacteria
Description: partial 16S ribosomal RNA
Rfam family: Bacterial small subunit ribosomal RNA
Source: RNAcentral
AAUCCUUCGGGAGGAAGCAGUGAAAGGAAAGCGGCGGACGGGUGAGUAACGCGUGAGUAACCUGCCUUCAGGAGGGGGAUAACAUUCCGAAAGGGAUGCUAAUACCGCAUGACAUUGUUUUUCUGCAUGGAAGAACAAUCAAAGAUUUAUCGCCUGAAGAUGGACUCGCGUCUGAUUAGAUAGUUGGUGGGGUAAAGGCCUACCAAGUCGACGAUCAGUAGCCGAACUGAGAGGUUGAUCGGCCACAUUGGGACUGAGACACGGCCCAGACUCC